GGAUGCCGUGGCUUUGGAUUCCACAAGUUUGCGAUUAAUCUGGAGGUGCGUUGGGUGCAGCUAAUGUUAUAUCAGUCGAUUAUAGUUUGUAGCUUGUAUCUUAAUAAAUUAUUAAUUAAUUGUAAAUAAAUGUAUUUUGGUUUUAAUUGCUUUUAUUAA
This is a long non-coding RNA of Drosophila sechellia, 159 nucleotides long. RefSeq lists it as uncharacterized. The record is from RefSeq and is a predicted model, not a curated record. The transcript has 2 exons. Lineage: Eukaryota; Metazoa; Arthropoda; Insecta; Diptera; Drosophilidae.